UUUUGUUGGAAUAGGGUUUAUCAGAAAGACCAAGGAGCUUGAAUUGAAGAAGAUGCAAGAAGAAACCAAAGCUAUUGAAACUUCAAGGAAAGCUAUUCCAUCAAUGUGGUAGGAAAUGUGCAAGAAACAAUUAAUGAUAACCAAUUCAGAUUUCAUGGAAAAUAUAGAGGUAUUCUAAUUUAUCAACCUAUAUGUUUGUUAUUGCCUUGCAUGUGGAAUUAGAUGCAACUCACACUUUCAUAAUUUCAUAUUAUGCUGUAACUCACAUUUGAGAUACACAACUCAAUCAUUUCUGAUGUCUCUAAUGUAAUCCAUAAAAAAUGCACUAUUUCCCAUUUAUAGUUUUCUGAGUUUUUAUUUCUAGUU
Solanum stenotomum is the source of this 366-nucleotide long non-coding RNA. RefSeq lists it as uncharacterized. NCBI's taxonomy places the organism in Eukaryota, Viridiplantae, Streptophyta, Magnoliopsida, Solanales, Solanaceae. The record is from RefSeq and is a predicted model, not a curated record. The transcript has 3 exons.